UACGUAGGGUGCGAGCGUUGUCCGGAAUUAUUGGGCGUAAAGGGCGCGUAGGCGGUUCUGUAAGUCCCGCGUGAAAUCCCCCGGCUCAACUGGGGAACUGCGCGGGAAACUGUGGGGCUAGAGUUCAGGAGAGGGAAGCGGAAUUCCGGGUGUAGCGGUGAAAUGCGUAGAUAUCCGGAGGAACACCGGUGGCGAAGGCGGCUUCCUGGACUGACACUGACGCUGAGGCGCGAAAGCUAGGGGAGCAAACGGG
Molecule: ribosomal RNA, 253 nt
Filed under: uncultured bacterium
Lineage: Bacteria
Description: partial 16S ribosomal RNA
Rfam family: Bacterial small subunit ribosomal RNA
Source: RNAcentral